CGGGUGAGUAACACGUGAGCAACCUGCCCCGAAGACCGGGAUAACAGUGGGAAACCGCUGCUAAUACCGGAUAUCCCCACCGAGUCUCCUGGCUUGGUGAGGAAAUGGACUCCGCUUCGGGAGGGGCUCGCGGCCUAUCAGCUUGUUGGUGGGGUAACGGCCUACCAAGGCGACGACGGGUAGCUGGUCUGAGAGGACGAUCAGCCACACUGGGACUGAGACACGGCCCAG
This 231-nucleotide ribosomal RNA is filed under the name uncultured bacterium. RNAcentral describes it as "partial 16S ribosomal RNA". It matches the Rfam family "Bacterial small subunit ribosomal RNA", at positions 103 to 334 of the family's 1533-position model. The record is from RNAcentral.